AAUGAACGCUGGCGGCAGGCCUAACACAUGCAAGUCGAGCGAGCAUUUCGGUGCUAGCGGCGGACGGGUGAGUAACGCGUGGGAACGUGCCCUUUUCUGCGGAAUAGUCCUGGGAAACUGGGGGUAAUACCGCAUACGCCCUUUUGGGGAAAGAUUUAUCGGAGAAGGAUCGGCCCGCGUUGGAUUAGGUAGUUGGUGGGGUAAUGGCCCACCAAGCCGACGAUCCAUAGCUGGUUUGAGAGGAUGAUCAGCCACACUGGGACUGAGACACGGCCCAGACUCCUACGGGAAGCAGCAGUGGGGAAUCUUAGACAAUGGGGGCAACCCUGAUCGAGCCAUGCCGCGUGAGUGAUGAAGGCCUGAGGGUUGUAAAGCUCUUUCAGCUGGGAAGAUAAUGACGGUACCAGCAGAAGAAGCCCCGGCUAACUCCGUG
This 433-nucleotide ribosomal RNA is filed under the name uncultured bacterium. Its description in RNAcentral is "partial 16S ribosomal RNA". It matches the Rfam family "Bacterial small subunit ribosomal RNA", at positions 29 to 507 of the family's 1533-position model. The record is from RNAcentral.